CUAAGGAUAUUCCGCAACGGGCGGAAGCCCGGCGGAGCGACGCCGCGUGGACGAUGAAGGCCGGAAGGUUGCAGAGUCCUUUUGCGGGGGAAGAAGGACGCGCGGAGGGAAUGCCGCGCGGGCGACCGUACCCCGCGAAUAAGGGGCGGCUAAUUACGUGCCAGCAGCCGCGGUAACACGUAAGCCCCGAGCGUUGUUCGGAAUCAUUGGGCGUAAAGGGCGCGUAGGCGGCCGCUCAAGCCCGGAGUGAAAGGCGGGGGCCCAACCCCCGGACUGCUCCGGGAACUGGGCGGCUGGAGUCGCCGUGGGGGAGCCGGAAUUCCUGGUGUAGGGGUGAAAUCUGUAGAUAUCAGGAAGAACACCGAUGGCGAAGGCAGGCUUCCAGCGGACGACUGACGCUGAGGCGCGAAGGCGCGGGGAGCGAACAGG
This 429-nucleotide ribosomal RNA is filed under the name uncultured bacterium. Its description in RNAcentral is "bacterial SSU rRNA". It matches the Rfam family "Bacterial small subunit ribosomal RNA", at positions 355 to 776 of the family's 1533-position model. The record is from RNAcentral.